RNAcentral lists this ribosomal RNA (423 nucleotides) under uncultured bacterium. RNAcentral's name for it is "bacterial SSU rRNA". It matches the Rfam family "Bacterial small subunit ribosomal RNA", at positions 207 to 622 of the family's 1533-position model. The record is from RNAcentral.
AAGACCUUGCGCUUUUGGAGCGGCCGAUGUCUGAUUAGCUAGUUGGUGGGGUAAUGGCCUACCAAAGCUUCGAUCAGUAGCUGGUCUGAGAGGACGACCAGCCACACUGGGACUGAGACACGGCCCAGACUCCUACGGGAGGCAGCAGUGGGGAAUUUUGGACAAUGGGCGCAAGCCUGAUCCAGCCAUGCCGCGUGAGUGAAGAAGGCCUUCGGGUUGUAAAGCUCUUUCAGCCGGGAAGAAAAGGUUGCGACUAAUAAUCGCAAUCCAUGACGGUACCGAAAGAAGAAGCACCGGCUAACUACGUGCCAGCAGCCGCGGUAAUACGUAGGGUGCGAGCGUUAAUCGGAAUUACUGGGCGUAAAGGGUGCGCAGGCGGUUUUGUAAGUCAGAUGUGAAAUCCCCGGGCUUAACCUGGGAACU